GCUGGGCAUGGUAGUGUGUACCUGUAAUCCCAGUGAUUUGGGAGGCUGAGGCAGGAGGAUUGCAAGGUCUAGGCCAGACUCAGCAACUUAGUGAGAACCUGUCUCAA
This 107-nucleotide small RNA is filed under the name Marmota monax (woodchuck). The record is from RNAcentral. Lineage: Eukaryota; Metazoa; Chordata; Mammalia; Rodentia; Sciuridae.